Molecule: ribosomal RNA, 460 nt
Filed under: uncultured bacterium
Lineage: Bacteria
Description: partial 16S ribosomal RNA
Rfam family: Bacterial small subunit ribosomal RNA
Source: RNAcentral
CCUACGGGAGGCAGCAGUGAGGAAUAUUGGUCAAUGGACGCAAGUCUGAACCAGCCAUGCCGCGUGCAGGAAGACGGCGCUAUGAGUUGUAAACUGCUGUUGUAAGAGGGGAAAUCCCGAUACGUGUAUCGUUUUGUAAGUAUCUUACGAAUAAGGCUCGGCUAACUCCGUGCCAGCAGCCGCGGUAAUACGGAGGAUUCAAGCGUUAUCCGGAUUUAUUGGGUUUAAAGGGUGCGUAGGCGGUUCGAUAAGUUAGAGGUGAAAUCCCGGGGCUCAACUCCGGCACUUCCUCUGAUACUGUCGGGCUAGAGGUUAGUUGCGGUAGGCGUAAUGUCUGGUGUAGCCGUGAUAUGCUUAGAGUUCAUCCAGCACACCGAUUGCGAAGGCAGCUUACCAAGCUACUUCUGACGUUGAGGCACGAAAGCGUGGGGAGCAAACAGGAUUAGAUACCCCUGUAGUC